RNAcentral lists this ribosomal RNA (495 nucleotides) under uncultured bacterium. RNAcentral describes it as "partial 16S ribosomal RNA". It matches the Rfam family "Bacterial small subunit ribosomal RNA", at positions 28 to 507 of the family's 1533-position model. The record is from RNAcentral.
GAUGAACGCUGGCGGCGUGCCUAAUACAUGCAAGUAGAACGCUGAAGGCGGAGCUUGCUCUUCUGGAUGAGUUGCGAACGGGUGAGUAACGCGUAGGUAACCUGCCUGGUAGCGGGGGAUAACUAUUGGAAACGAUAGCUAAUACCGCAUGACAACAGUUAUUGCAUGAUAACUGUUUAAAAGGUGCAACUGCUCCACUACCAGUUGGUCCUUCGUUGUAUUAGCUAGUUGGUGUGGUAACGGCUCACCAAGGCGACGAUACAUAGCCGACCUGAGAGGGUGGUGGGCCAAAAUGGGAAUGGGAAAAGGCCCAGACUCAUACGGGAGGCAGCAGGAGGGAAUCAGCGGCAAUGGAGGGAAGUCUGAACGAGAAACGCCGGGGGAGGGAAGAAGGUUGUCGGAGCGUAAAGCUAUGUUGUAAGAGAAGAACGAGUGUGAGAGUGGAAAGUUCACACAGUGACGGUAACUGACCAGAAAGAGACGGCUAACUACGUG